This 484-nucleotide ribosomal RNA is filed under the name uncultured bacterium. Its description in RNAcentral is "partial 16S ribosomal RNA". It matches the Rfam family "Bacterial small subunit ribosomal RNA", at positions 899 to 1397 of the family's 1533-position model. The record is from RNAcentral.
ACUCAAAUGAAUAGACGGGGGAGCGCACAACCAGUGGAGCAUGUGGUUUAAUUCGAGACGAAGCGAAAGACCUUACCCAGAUUUGACAUGUACCUGCACAGUUAUGGAAACAUAGCUUUCUUCGAGAGUGGUACACAGGUGAUGCAUGGCUGUCGUCAGCUCGUGUCGUGAGACGUCCACUUAAGUGUGGUAACGAGCGCAACCCCUAUCGUAAGUUGUAUAUCUUACGAGACUGCCUACCAGCAAGGUGGGAGGAAGGAGGGGACGACGUCAAGUCAGCACGUCCCUUACAUCUGGGGCAACACACAUCCUACAAUGGCGUGAACAACGGGUCGCGACGGGGUAACCCUGAGCUAAUCCUAAUAAAACACGCCUCAGUUCAGAUUGAGGGCUGCAACCCGCCCUCAUGAAGCCGGAAUUGGUAGUAAUCGCGAAUCAGCAGGUCGCGGUGAAUACGUUCUCGCUCCUUGUACACACCGCCCGU